Molecule: ribosomal RNA, 775 nt
Filed under: uncultured Neocallimastigales
Lineage: Eukaryota; Fungi; Neocallimastigomycota; Neocallimastigomycetes; Neocallimastigales
Description: partial large subunit ribosomal RNA
Rfam family: Eukaryotic large subunit ribosomal RNA
Source: RNAcentral
CGCAUCUGUGCAUGCAGCAUAUCAAUAAGCGGAGGAAAAGAAACUAACAAGGAUUCCCCUAGUAACGGCGAAGUGAAGCGGGAAGAGCUCAAAUUUGAAAUCUUCAAGGUUUUACCUUGACGAAUUGUAGUUUAAAGAAGUGUUUUCUGUUGAAGUUUUGGUAAAAGUUCUUUGGAAUAGGACAUCAUAGAGGGUGAGAAUCCCGUAUUUGACCAUUAUUUUCAGCUGUGUGAUACACUUUCAAAGAGUCGGAUUGUUUGGGAAUGCAGUCCAAAAUGGGUGGUAAAUUUCAUCUAAAGCUAAAUAUUGGCGAGAGACCGAUAGCGAACAAGUACCGUGAGGGAAAGAUGAAAAGAACUUUGAAAAGAGAGUUAAACAGUACGUGAAAUUGUCAAAAGGGAAGCGUUUGACACCAGUGUUGUUUUCUCGAAAAUCAAUUAAAAAGAGUUUGAUUUUGUUGUGUAUUGACCUUAACAACUUGCAUUUCAAUUUUCUUGCUUUUUUUAAUGCACUUUUCGUUUAACAAGUCUACAUCAGUUUCUUUUGUUGUUAAAAAGGUCAUUGGAAGGUGGCUUUCUUUUCGGAGAAAGUGUUUAUAGCCUUUGACUCCUGCAAUCGGAGAGACUGAGGUCUGCAGCGUAGAUCCUUCGGGGUUAGAUACAUUUGUGCUAAGUUAUAGCUUUUUAUAGACAACUUGUUGACUAUGAUUAAUCUUGUAGCUUACUCGCUUAUGCUAUUUUACCUACGCUUAGGAUGUUGAUGUGAUACUGCGAGC